RNAcentral lists this ribosomal RNA (466 nucleotides) under uncultured bacterium. RNAcentral's name for it is "partial 16S ribosomal RNA". It matches the Rfam family "Bacterial small subunit ribosomal RNA", at positions 339 to 795 of the family's 1533-position model. The record is from RNAcentral.
CUACGGGACGCUCCAGUAAGGAAUCUUGCGCAAUGGGGGAAACCCUGACGCAGCGACGCCGCGUGGGUGAUGAAGGCCUUCGGGUCGUAAAGCCCUGUCGAGUGGGAAGAACCGUACCUGGGUUAAUAGCCUAGGUACCUGACGGUACCACCAAAGGAAGCACCGGCCAACUCCGUGCCAGCAGCCGCGGUAAUACGGAGGGUGCAAGCGUUGUGUCGGAAUAACUGGGCGUAAAGGGCGCGCAGGCGGUUGGAUAAGUCAGAUGUGAAAUCCCUGGGCUCAACCCAGGAAGUGCAUUUGAAACUGUCCAUCUUGAGUACGGGAGAGGGAAGCGGAAUUCCGAGUGUAGAGGUGAAAUUCGUAGAUAUUCGGAGGAACACCGGUGGCGAAGGCGGCUUCCUGGACCGAUACUGACGCUGAGGCGCGAAAGCGUGGGGAGCAAACAGGAUUAGAUACCCUAGUAGUC